CCUGAGUUUCCUAAAACUACGGACAUAACUGAACGCUCUGCAUAUAUUUUGUAUAUACUUAUUUACAUGUUGCCUAUGGUCCACUAGAAUGGAAGCAACCUGACGGCAGAGAACGUGUUUUUGCCUUUCCUUGUAUGCCCAGUGAUCGCCGCGGUGUCCGCACACAGUAGGCGCUUAUUAAGUGCUUGCUUACUGGUUGCUCCGAGAGGGCUUCGGGGGCUCACCCCUGGCCAUACCCACUACUCGGCUAGCGAGGACGCCCGGCCACAUGUCCGGCAGGGCCCACAGUUUGGCUUUCCAGCAGCGCAGCGCUAAACACAAGGCCCCACCCGACCCCGGUGGGAGGGGGGACCCGAGCAGGGCCCCGUGGGCAGCGGCCAACAGCCGGUGGCCAGAACAGGUAGUGGGGGCCGCAGAUUAAAGCACGGGAAGGCGGCCAGAACGCACCGCAGUCGCAGCUCGCCCCGGGCGCCCUCGCGUCCCCGCGGGCGCCGCUGUCCGUCUCCCGAGGGAAGGGUCCGCGGACAGACGGGCCCGCGAAAGGGGGCGCCUCCUCCCCUCCCCCGCACACUCCGACACUGACCGUCGCCCGCCCACGAUCUCUAUGAAGCCCCCAAGCGCGCCCGCCGGGCCCUGACGUCAGGCUACCGCACAAGAAGCGGGCACGCAUCGCGCGCGGAGCAGAGCCCCGCCUCUCCCCAUCCCCGGUCCCACCUCCGCCCCUCCUUUUGUCUCCACGCCCCGCGGGGCCAGAGAGAGCUCGGAGCGCAUGCGCCCUGAGAGCAGAACCAGGUGAGGGGGAUGGGGCUGGGAAUGCUGCGUGGUGGCACGCUGGCCCACGUUCUUUCGCGCCGGGGCCCGAGUGCGGUCAGGGAGGAAGGAAGGUAGCGCACACCUUUGCUCCAAUGGCUGCAGCCCUUCCGCGCGCACUCCCCCAGGGUAGGAUGGACGACUACCCCGAGGACCGUUCACUGAACUGGCUGGACAGAGAAACCCAGAAGCGCCUUAGCAGACAGGGCCGGGAGGUGCUGCAGCGGGCGCAGAGGAGAGCUGUCAACCGGUCCUCACUGGGGGAAGAUCUUCGGGGAGAAGGGAAACCGAUAAACCUCAAUACUUCAUUCAAUACAAUGAUGGAAUACAUGGAUUACGUUUCAAGCCAGUGUGGGAAAAAAUCCACAUCCCAAGACCCUAGAGAGAGCUACCAAGUAACAAAGAUUGGCCCAGGACCAUCCAUGUUUGAUCCAGGAUCAUCCAGGUUUGACCCAGGACCAUCCAAGUUUAACACAGGACCAUCCAGGUUUAACUUGGGGUCAUCCAAGUUUGACCCAGGACCAUCCAGGUUUGACCCAGGACCAUCCAGGUUUGACCCAGGACCAUCCAAAUUUGACCCAGGACCAUCCAGGUUUUACGCAGGACCAUCCAGGUUUGACUUGGGGUCAUCCAAGUUUGACCCAGGACCAUCCAGGUUUGACCCAGGACCAUCCAGUGUUGGCCCAGGACCAUCCAGGUUUGACCCGGGACCAUCCAGGUUUGACCCGGGACCAUCCAGGUUUGACCCGGGACCAUCCAGGUUUGACCCGGGACCAUCCAGGUUUGACUCGGGAUCAUCCAGGUUUGACACAGGGUCAUCCAGUCUUGGCCCAGGACCAUCCAGGUUUGACCCAGGACCAUCCAGGUUUGACCCAGGACCAUCCAGUCUUGGCCCAGGACCAUCCAGGUUUGGCCCAGGACCAUCCAGUCUUGGCCCAGGACCAUCCAGGUUUGGCCCAGGACCAUCCAGUCUUGGCCCAGGACCAUCCAGGUUUGGCCCAGGACCAUCCAGUCUUGGCCCAGGACCAUCCAGGUUUGGCCCAGGACCAUCCAGGUUUGACUCGGGGUCAUCCCAGUUUGACCUAGGACCAUCCAGUCUUGGCCCGGGACCAUCCAAGUUUGACCCAGGACCAUCCAAGUUUGACACAGGGUCAUGGAGUCUUGGCCCAAGAUCAUCCGAGUCUAUGGCCAGAACAAGUUCAAAGGACAUCACGAUAGAAGUUUGUCCAGGCACCUAUACUGUCACAGUAGGGUCCCCUAAUGUAACCACAACGCACAUGAUAGAGGUUGACUCAGGAGAAAUCAUCGAUCUGAGUUUCCCUCUUUAA
This 2138-nucleotide long non-coding RNA is filed under the name Phascolarctos cinereus (koala). Its description in RNAcentral is "lncRNA (ENSPCIG00000033194.1)". Lineage: Eukaryota; Metazoa; Chordata; Mammalia; Diprotodontia; Phascolarctidae. The record is from RNAcentral.